This 433-nucleotide ribosomal RNA is filed under the name uncultured bacterium. RNAcentral describes it as "partial 16S ribosomal RNA". It matches the Rfam family "Bacterial small subunit ribosomal RNA", at positions 29 to 507 of the family's 1533-position model. The record is from RNAcentral.
AGCGAACGCUGGCGGCAGGCCUAACACAUGCAAGUCGAACGAACUCUUCGGAGUUAGUGGCGGACGGGUGAGUAACACGUGGGAACGUGCCUUUAGGUUCGGAAUAACUCAGGGAAACUUGUGCUAAUACCGAAUGUGCCCUUCGGGGGAAAGAUUUAUCGCCUUUAGAGCGGCCCGCGCCUGAUUAGCUAGUUGGUGAGGUAAAGGCUCACCAAGGCGACGAUCAGUAGCUGGUCUGAGAGGAUGAUCAGCCACAUUGGGACUGAGACACGGCCCAAACUCCUACGGGAGGCAGCAGUGGGGAAUCUUGCGCAAUGGGCGAAAGCCUGACGCAGCCAUGCCGCGUGAAUGAUGAAGGUCUUAGGAUUGUAAAAUUCUUUCACCGGGGACGAUAAUGACGGUACCCGGAGAAGAAGCCCCGGCUAACUUCGUG